This 2264-nucleotide long non-coding RNA is filed under the name Lytechinus variegatus (green sea urchin). Its description in RNAcentral is "uncharacterized LOC121430946, transcript variant X2". Lineage: Eukaryota; Metazoa; Echinodermata; Echinoidea; Temnopleuroida; Toxopneustidae. The record is from RNAcentral.
UAAUUGUGUUUGAAUCGUUGAUGUUGUCCAAUGUGAGUUUUUGUUCCAAUUUUGUGACUACUAGAUUUUUUCCUCCUGUGAAAUUUUUAUUUUAGUGAUGAAUAUUAACUUAAUUGUGAUUGAGUAUAAUGAUGUAUUCUUGAUAUUUAACUUGCUUUGAAUAUUAAGACUGGAGUUACAAAAGAAAUCAGUAUUCAUAAUUCAAAAGAAUGACCUAGUUUGCUAUUUAUCUUAUCCAUGGAAGAUUUGUGCAAUGAUGCAACUCGAACCUCCAUUUGUGUAUUGGCCAGCAAUGUAUUAAGAAAUAGCCCCCAAAUCAUCUUCCGGUUCUUCAAAAUUAGAAUUUAGAUGAGUUGUAUACUACAUGAAUACAUGUGUUUCAAAAUAUAAAGCUGUAAAAUCUAUCUUAACUUUUUUUCUGGAGAAUUGAUUUGUACCAUUACCAAGAGUCUCAACUAUAUUUCAGCUCAUUUUCAUGCUUGAAUGAAACUUUAAACAAUGUUUUCUCCUUGUACUGGGAAAUUCAAGUAAUUGACUUCAAUCAAUCAUUUUGAACAAGAUUGAAGCUUAAGAAUAGAUCUGCCUAAACUGUGCUUAAAUCUCUAACUUACUUUUUGUCCAGCAAGGGUUUUGAGAUGGGAGCUCUAUAGGUCACAUAAUUUUGUGCCUGCAUCCUUUUCAGUUAUUUAUACAUUAAAUUCAUUGUUAUUUUUUGUAAUUUUGGAAUCAUGCACAUUUGAGAAACUGUUCCAUGUGGGUGCUGGCCAUAUUUAACACAUAUUGUAUCACAUUGAUUAUGUGCAAACCAUCGUGUCAUGUGACGUUUCAAGAUGCACUGUCGGUCUAUAUCUAAGGGUAUAUUUGUUUCAUUCAUUCACCUCUCCACAUUGAUGGCGUGACUUAACCAGUAGUCACAACGACCCCCGUCUCAACGAAAGCCCCUACAACGAAAUCAUUGACAGAAACACCUACGCAGAGGAGAACGACCGCAGGUUCGAGCAUCGUCGUCGCCGAGCAAUCGGUUGAUUCUGCAUCAUCAGUAACAACAACGCCAGAAAGCGAGCCAUCUGUUAAUACAGUUAAACCAACAAAAUCAGAACCGAAGAAACAAACGAGCAACAACCAAACGCUUUACAUCAUCGUGGGAUCUGUUGCUGGAGUUAUUUCCCUUGCUAUCCUGGUUCUAGUAUGUUACUGUUGCUGUCGUAAGUCGAAAAAUAGCUUUUGAUUUGACAAAGUGCACGACGGGCGAUUAUCUUCCUCUCUACUUGGUGAUCAGUGUCUUCAAAUUGGCAAUGCUGCAAUGUUCCCUCCUUUUGGAGUCUUCUCAUUCCAUUUUUACACAUGGUUUCGACUCCCAAUCACAUUAUGCAGUUAAUACAGUUGGCCUUCGCAUCACAUGACCAAUCAUGUGAACACGGUGAUAUUGCAUGCUAGACAUUGAUUUGCUUUGUUUAUUGUGAUGACUUCUGCUUUCAUAAAAUGAUUAAAAUUUCUCAAAAUAUAUGACAUUGUAAACACAAAAAGUAAACAUUUCAAAGAAAUAUAUUUUGAACAGAAAACUACAUGUACAGCAACCUUAAUAAUGUAAGAAUGGUGAAUCAUGAUUCAUUGAAUAAACGUAAUCGUACAAUGGCAAAAUAAGGACUGUCAUUGUAAGUGGACAUGUGUUUGAAAUUGUAUCAAUGCAACUCUAAUGUAAUAGCGGGAAUACCAUUCUUACAUUGAAAUUGUGUGCAACAUUCCUAAUUUGCUUCAUUAGCUUUGGUUUGGUAUUCCCACAUAAGGAUAGCUUCAAUUUGUCAUGAGGAAAACAUUCCCUUUUUUUCAUUGUGAUCUUUUUUUUUAAAGUUACCUUCUGAUCAGUGCAUGAAUUUCAGACAUGUCAGCCAUAUAUGUAUUACAGGUUUAUGAAAAAAACUUACUUGCAAAUUGCAUCCAAUUCGUUUGUGUCCUUAUAAAAGUUGUUAUGGUUAUUUUGAUGAUGUGUAGUAUAUGUCCGUACAUUGUGUUGUUUUUUUACACUGCUGUUACUGUUGCACACUAAGAAGUUUAUUUUUGUUUUAGAUUGUUAAUUUCCUAAUGCUCUAUUUCCCCCCAAAUCUUGAUUUGUUUCAUGUUAUCCUUCCUGCAUGUAUGACAUUUCAUUUCAGCAGUAUUUAUUAUAUAUUUUAUUUUGUAUUUCAUAUUCUUUUAAAAGUAUUACUGCAUGUACUAUCGCCUUGCAUUUUCACUGAACACUAUGUUCUCAUUUAUUCAUGGUA